This 71-nucleotide transfer RNA is filed under the name Myxococcales bacterium. Its description in RNAcentral is "tRNA-Glu". It matches the Rfam family "tRNA". From Rfam's summary of the family: Transfer RNA (tRNA) molecules are approximately 80 nucleotides in length. Their secondary structure includes four short double-helical elements and three loops (D, anti-codon, and T loops). The record is from RNAcentral. Lineage: Bacteria; Pseudomonadati; Myxococcota; Myxococcia; Myxococcales.
GGUCCUAUCUGCUAACGGAAGGCAAGCUGACUCUCUAUCAGCAAACGGGGGUUCGACUCCCCCUAGGAUCA